UACGGAGGAUGCGAGCGUUAUCCGGAUUUAUUGGGUUUAAAGGGUGCGUAGGCGGGCUUUUAAGUCAGCGGUAAAAAUUCGGGGCUCAACCCCGUCCGGCCGUUGAAACUGGGGGCCUUGAGUGGGCGAGAAGAAGGCGGAAUGCGUGGUGUAGCGGUGAAAUGCAUAGAUAUCACGCAGAACCCCGAUUGCGAAGGCAGCCUUCCGGCGCCCUACUGAUGCUGAGGCACGAAAGUGCGGGGAUCGAACAGG
Molecule: ribosomal RNA, 252 nt
Filed under: uncultured bacterium
Lineage: Bacteria
Description: partial 16S ribosomal RNA
Rfam family: Bacterial small subunit ribosomal RNA
Source: RNAcentral